UCAGUUUCAACAAGAGAAAAAAAUUAGGCAGAGUAUGUCACACUUGAUUAAUCUUACCAAAGUUUCUCCUCUUUUCUCAGUUUCAACAAGAGAAAAAAAAUUAGACUGAGUACAUCACACAAGAUCAAUCUUACCAAAGUCUCUCCUCUCUUUUCAGUUUCAACGAGAGAAGGAGACCACAAAUUAACCAGCUCGUGCAUCGUUUUCUAUGUGUGAACGAGUCUGUCAUGGCUUGGAAGACCCCGCCAACUGUACCUCUCUCUCUCUGUCUCUCCUCACGACGGUUUAUAUGUGUGGAAAGGACAGAACACAAACUAACGAGGAAAUGAAGAUUGUUAAAGCGCAGAAAGAGAAAGGAAGAGGAGGAUAUUGAAGUAGAGAGACUCGCCCAGCUGUCCACCGCUUCAAGUGCUCGCAUCUGUCUGUCUGUCUGUCUGUCUGUGAGUACCAUAUGUUUGUACUGAUGCAUGAACCGGCACCUUCAGAGGAAUGCAUACUUAUUUUUGUGUGUGUAUCUAUAGGUCUUGUUUACUCCUUUCUCCCCUAGACUCUAUAUUAUCCUCUUUUUUUUCUUCCUCCUCCCAGUUACGUGCUUAAAUUUUACGUUAUUCAUCUAC
This is a long non-coding RNA of Eriocheir sinensis (Chinese mitten crab), 617 nucleotides long. RefSeq lists it as uncharacterized. Lineage: Eukaryota; Metazoa; Arthropoda; Malacostraca; Decapoda; Varunidae. The transcript has 3 exons. The record is from RefSeq and is a predicted model, not a curated record.